Molecule: non-coding RNA, 474 nt
Organism: Pelobates cultripes (western spadefoot toad)
Lineage: Eukaryota; Metazoa; Chordata; Amphibia; Anura; Pelobatidae
Source: the annotation of a GenBank genome assembly
CUGACAGAAAAUGGGUGCGCAGACCCUUAUAAAGGCAUUAUUACAUCAUUGAAGAAAAUCAAGAUAUAGACAAAUAGACACUAUUGAUUGGUCCAGGUGUUAAGUGGUUAGUUAGGUACCCUCCUAUCAAGAGGUGAUGUCAUCCUUGACACGGGAGUGGACACAAGAUGUAGGCGCCAUCUUGUUAGCACGAGGUGUUCACUCGAUGGGAGGGGUGCUUUGGCAGCCAUCCAUUUAGAGCGUAGCUGGCACUUGUUAGUUUCUCAAGGUUAGGUUUCAAGGCUUUUAGUAAAUACACAUUUUAUCAAGCUAUUUCUUGCUGACAUGCAAAUUCUAUGUUCUAUAGACAAGGCUUUCUUGUAAAACUAUGGGGGCCUCUUAGAGGUAUUGUGGUGGAAUCUCGGUAAAAAUAAAUUUAGUAGGCCGAGAUUACCACGUGGCAUGUGUACGUGCAUAUGCUGACGUAUCGAUCAG